UUACAUGUAGUAUGAAUACAAAAGAGGCCGUGAGUACAGAGUGAAAAUUUACCAUGGCUGACUGAAAAUAAAGAUGAGUCAAUAAUUCAGUAUUGUGGAUUAGUAAGUCACUAAAUAAUUUGUUAAUUCAAAUAUUCUUGAAGGGAGAUUGAAUUUGUGGUGGAUAGACCAAGUGUAAGAGUGAUCAACAAUGAACGGUUUGAGUUUAAGUGAGUUGUGCUGUUUGUUUUGUUGUCCUCCUUGUCCAACAAGAAUUGCUGCCAAACUGGCAUUCCUACCACCCGAAACUACAUAUAAUUUUCUGCCGGACGAAACGGGAUCAAAAUUCAGUUUGAAUCUUACCGAACGAGCAGAGUGGCAAUAUUCUGAACGAGAGAAAGAAAAUAUCGAGGGUUUCUAUGCACGGACUUCUCGGGGUAAUCGCAUUGCAUGUUUAUUUGUGAGGUGCAGUACAAACGCACGAUUUACAAUAUUAUUUUCACAUGGUAAUGCAGUUGAUUUGGGACAGAUGAGUAGUUUUUAUCUAGGACUUGGUUCUCGCAUCAAUUGCAACAUAUUCAGUUAUGACUACUCAGGUUAUGGAGUAAGUACAGGAAAGCCAUCAGAAAAAAAUUUAUAUGCUGACAUCGAUGCAGCAUGGCAUGCUCUUCGCACCAGGUAUGGAAUAUCGCCGGAGAACAUAAUCCUGUAUGGACAGAGUAUUGGCACCGUUCCUACAGUGGACUUAGCAUCACGCUACGAAGUGGGAGCUGUCAUUCUUCAUUCACCACUUAUGUCAGGCAUGAGAGUUGCCUUUCCCAACACCAAGAGGACUUGGUUCUUUGAUGCCUUCCCUAGUAUCGACAAGGUUCCCAAGGUGACAUCACCAGUACUGGUGAUUCAUGGUACUGAAGAUGAAGUAAUUGAUUUUUCCCAUGGCCUGGCCAUCUAUGAGCGCUGCCCUCGUGCCGUCGAACCCCUCUGGGUUGAUGGAGCAGGACACAAUGAUGUUGAACUCUACUCUCAAUAUUUGGAGCGCCUGAAGCAGUUUGUAUCUGUGGAACUGCUCAACUGACAACUACUGCCACCUGGUGAGGAGUCUGAACAUAAUGCCACAUCAACUGUCAGCUCAGCUACCACCAGCUCUGUUACUGAGAAAUUGCUCUAGCUAACCGACCCUCCAGCAAAUCAGACAGUUGCUGAAUCAACCACAAGCCUGCAGGAAGAAAAAUCAAACAGUGAACAAUCUUGCAAGAGCAGUAUCCUGAGUAGUCCUCCUGCUGCACCAGCAACUUAUGAACUGCCACGAGAAACUACCUGCUAGUCUUUUUGACUAGGCAAUUCAUCAAUUUGACUUUUGGUUUUGGAAAACAAGAAACUGCUGUUUGUCAGAAUAUUUCUCCGUUGAUAGAGAAAAUGAAAAUAUCUUAAAGAACUCUUGUUUAAUUAUUCUUACAGUACAGAUUUUUUUUGUGAUAAACUGUGAAGUGUGAGAGAAUAGUACUUGUUUUCCAAAAUGUAAAAAAUAUUUUGCUGGAGAUGAAUUCGGUCUGAUGUGUUAUGGUGGCAUUGGUGCGAGAGUAAGGUAGCUCAGACAAAGUGGAACUAGUGAAGUAGCUAACCAAAUUUCCUGUUAUAGAAUCAAUAACUGUCUGAUAUUUUAUAGGGAUUAGUUGUGUAUAAACUUAUUGUUCCAAAUUGAAGUGAUAUAUUUUAAACUCCCAUUAAUUUGGCUGUUUACAAUAAAAACUACACUUUGUUCUUGAGUUAACUUUGAGAAGUUUGAUGUCAAUAAUAAAAAGGGCCUGGCUGUAUGUGAUGGAGGUGAGACACUGCCACUACAUUAUUAAUUUCUACCUAUGAGAUGUGUAGGUUCAAGUUAAUAUAGUGAUGUGAAUGUGGCUCUACGCUGGCCUAGUAGUUUCGUUGUUUCGUACUUCUGACAUCAGUCAGGAAGUAGCCUUUACAGUUUUGUUGAAAUUUCCUUGUAGUUAAUAUAGUUUUAUAUUUUAUUUAAAAAGUGUUACCAUAUUGAUUUAAUUGCAAAUUUUCUCUUUGUAGUAAUUUUUUAGAUAUAUUUAUAAAUUGAAAUGGAUAGAUUUUGUAUGGGGAUUUCAGAUUUGUUUCUUUGUAUAGAUACUUAUAAAAAAGAGUGAAGUAA
Zootermopsis nevadensis is the source of this 2140-nucleotide non-coding RNA. NCBI's taxonomy places the organism in Eukaryota, Metazoa, Arthropoda, Insecta, Blattodea, Termopsidae. The record is from RefSeq and is a predicted model, not a curated record.